GACGAACGCUGGCGGCGUGCUUAACACAUGCAAGUCGAACGGUAAGGCCCUUCGGGGUACACGAGUGGCGAACGGGUGAGUAACACGUGGGUGAUCUGCCCUGCACUUCGGGAUAAGCCUGGGAAACUGGGUCUAAUACCGGAUAGGACCACUGCCUGCAUGGGUGGUGGUGGAAAGCUUUUGCGGUGUGGGAGGGGCCCGCGGCCUAUCAGCUUGUUGGUGGGGUGAUGGCAUACCAAGGCGACGACGGGUAGCCGGCCUGAGAGGGUGACCGGCCACACUGGGACUGAGAUACGGCCCAGACUCCUACGGGAGGCAGCAGUGGGGAAUAUUGCACAAUGGGAGCAAGCCUGAUGCAGCGACGCCGCGUGAGGGAUGACGGCCUUCGGGUUGUAAACCUCUUUCAGCACCGACGAAGCGCAGGUGACGGUAGGUGCAGAAGAAGGACCGGCCAACUACGUGCCAGCCGCCGCCGUAA
Molecule: ribosomal RNA, 478 nt
Filed under: uncultured bacterium
Lineage: Bacteria
Description: partial 16S ribosomal RNA
Rfam family: Bacterial small subunit ribosomal RNA
Source: RNAcentral